GGGGACGCUACGGAUUCGACAGGGAUAGUUCGAGCUUAGGUUGCGAGUCGAGGGGAUCGGCCUCGUUAAAACGUCAAAGCCUAUAACUGGCAAACAACAAAACAACUUCGCUUUAGCUGCUUAAUAGCGCUUAGCGGUUCCUCCCUCCAUCGCCCAUGUGGUAGGGUCAGGGACUCACUUUAAGUGGGCUACGCCGGAUUCCACCGUCUGAGGAAGAAGGAAGAGAACAACCAGACUAGCUUAUCGGACGCCUGUCAACAGGCAGAAGAAUAAGCGAAAUGCGAAUAUGUUGACUACACUCGUAGAAGCUUAAGUGCCGAUAUUUCUGGACGUGGGUUCGAUUCCCACCGUCUCCACCA
The sequence is a non-coding RNA, 359 nucleotides long. It matches the Rfam family "transfer-messenger RNA". Rfam says of the family: Bacterial tmRNA, also known as 10Sa RNA or SsrA, is named for its dual tRNA and mRNA-like properties. The record is from Rfam.